UUUACAAAUUCCUAGGGUUGCCAGAUCAAUUCCGUGUAAGUGCUGGAAAACGCCUCACAUAGUCCCACUGUUUGUUGUUGUUUCUUUAGAUCUGGAUAUAUAUGUAUGUAUUUCCACCACCUGGCGCGUCGACCGGCGUUAUAAAGGCGGUUUGUUCUCCGCAAGCGACAAUCACGAACUGACUUGAUGUACCGCCGAAAUGAGCGGGUGUGUGCGUCUGUGUGUCUCGAUUGAGUGAUUGAUUAGUCUGCUGACGACCGACUUUACUUGUGUGAGUGUGGAAAUGCGCAAUAAAUCACUUAAUGCCCAGGCAUUUCUGGCAAUGUGAAGGAUAAAUUUUAAAUUGUACCUGCACCUCAGGUUAUUUUAUUGUACUGUCUUUUUACUUCAACGACCAUCGAUGGAGUCGUCUAUAUGUCGUGCUUGUCUCGUAAAUUACGAAAAUAUGGUCAAUAUUUUUGAGGAAAAACAUGAAUCGGGCAUAUCUAUUGCAAAUAUAAUUUAUCAGUGCACCGGCUGUAAAGUGGAAGAAGACGACCUGCUGCCCACAACUAUUUGCCCGUCCUGCCUUCAGGAUGCAAAGGAUGCAUUCGAUAUUAUUGAAACGUACGAGAGGAGCCACCAUUUCUUUUGCUACUUUACCGAUUUUCAGAAGGAGCAACUGGAGAAUGGGG
This is a non-coding RNA of Drosophila takahashii, 674 nucleotides long. Lineage: Eukaryota; Metazoa; Arthropoda; Insecta; Diptera; Drosophilidae. The record is from RefSeq and is a predicted model, not a curated record.